This is a long non-coding RNA of Sceloporus undulatus (fence lizard), 1538 nucleotides long. RefSeq lists it as uncharacterized. The record is from RefSeq and is a predicted model, not a curated record. Lineage: Eukaryota; Metazoa; Chordata; Lepidosauria; Squamata; Phrynosomatidae. The transcript is spliced from 3 exons.
GCCAAUCCUAGGGAUGUAGACUGCAGGAGAGAAACCAGUUCACACUUAUGCCUAGGUGGGAACCUAGCAAUAAGAAGGCUAUCAGAAGUCAAGAGAAGAAGCAACUGCAAUAUUCAGUCUGCUGGUCAAGGAAGGCUUAUCAUAUGAUGGCGGAACUCAUUGGAAAGGAUGAUCAUGCUUGAUAAAGUGAAAGGAAGUAGGAAAAGAGGGACACAGUGCUACAGAUGGAUUGAUUUGAUCAAGUAGGCCACAAUUGCACUGAGUUUGGAAGACCUGAGCAGGUAGUUGAGGACCAGCCUCCUGAAGGUCUCUCAGUCCUAGAGACACCAGAAGACAACUUGAUUGCAAAUAACACAAACAAAAGGAAGCUCUGAGCACAAUUAUAUGGCAGUUGCAUACAGGAAAACAUGGAGUGAGUCCUGCAGUGGUAAGAUUCAGAUGAGCAUCCAGAGCAGAGUUUUUAAGAUGAGCUUGUUCCACUCUGAAUUCCUUUCCAAGAGCAUUAAAGUACUGUAUAGACAAGGCAUUAAAAUUGUAAUGUAUCUUCAAAACUGAAGCCGCUGUUCACAUCAGCAUGGGCCCUGCUAGCCGUCUCCGCUAACCUUGACCUUCUGCAAGCAACUUCUGCUACCUCAUCAGUGAGGAAGUAGAAAGAGGUGUUCCAGCCGUCAAAAUAAGUACAACUGACAGGCUCCGAUCACUCCCACAACCUGAGUGCCGUACGUGUGCCUCAGUGCAGAGACAGCCUGACAGUUCAGAGAAUGCUCCUCACUGUGUGAGGCCACUGAAACAGCAUCAAGUUUUACAGGACUGUUGCACAUCUCCUCAAGCAUGAAUGUGAACUGAAGGGCUAAGAAAACUUGCAGCAGGGAGUAACACACUAAGUUGCAAGCUGCACGGUCCUGUAGAUCUCAGAUGCAAGACACAACACAAGCAGCGUAGUCUUCUCAACAGGCCAUGGCUCAAUUUUGAAACAAGCUGUGCGACCUCCAUGGCCCUGUAACUCUUGGCAAGGAUGCUCAUCUUCUGUAACCAAGAAAACUGAAGCCAAAAAUACCUCAAAGGGAAACUGUAUUCAAACUCAGUACUGUUGUUACUUAUUGAAAUGAUCAUGGAUAUUUCUAGGAGAAAGUGUGACAUACAAUUUAGAAAACAGAUGGAGAAAAAAAUCAGCAUCAUUAGACAGUACAAGCAGAACACUGUACAGAUCAGCAAUCUCUAUGAACAUUACAUAAACUGUAUCUAUGCUAAAUAUAACCUGGGAACAACUAAUCAGGGAUAAGAAGACCACCUAGACACCAGCAUGCACACGAACACAACAAAAGACUACCUGCAUGCACCUGAAUACAACCAACCUGUGUCAUGCAGAUCAUGAACAUGCCACACACAGUGUGCCCAGAACUCUAGAAAGCAAACAACUGAAGGAAUUAAGUAAGCUAUGGGCCUGAACUGACAGGCCAAAUGAAGCAGCUUUGAGCCACUUUGGAGGCGUGCUGUUUAAACAACACACAUGUCUUAAGAGGCCAGAAGCCACACUU